AUCCGGGAGACACACGGUGGGUGCUAACGUCCAUCGUGAAGAGGGAAACAACCCAGACCGCCAGCUAAGGUCCCCAAAUUCCAGUUAAGUGGGAAACGAUGUGGGAAGGCUCAGACAGCUAGGAGGUUGGCUUAGAAGCAGCCACCCUUUAAAGAAAGCGUAAUAGCUCACUAGUCGAGUCGGCCUGCGCGGAAGAUGUAACGGGGCUCAAACUGGAUACCGAAGCUGCGGAUAUGCACUUAGUGCAUGUGGUAGGGGAGCGUUGUGUAAG
RNAcentral lists this ribosomal RNA (271 nucleotides) under Chloropicon laureae. RNAcentral's name for it is "partial Bacterial large subunit ribosomal RNA". It matches the Rfam family "Bacterial large subunit ribosomal RNA", at positions 975 to 1247 of the family's 2925-position model. The record is from RNAcentral. Lineage: Eukaryota; Viridiplantae; Chlorophyta; Chloropicophyceae; Chloropicales; Chloropicaceae.